CAGUCUAGGAGCAGCAUUAUGAGAGUUAACACCACUCAGAUUACGAGUCUCAGGACCUCUAAGGCAAACUGUAAAUAAAACAAUCCUUUCCUUCAGCACACAUUCCAGAAUACAUUCAUAUUCUGUUGGUAUGUAUUGCGCAUGCUUCAGCAUCAUCCAUUGUCUUCAGCAGACAAAUACAAACAUUUAAGCCUCGUGUAAAUAUUGUACUAUGUCAGUUCAUGAUCUUAAAACAUUUGCCGUC
This is a long non-coding RNA of Haliotis rufescens (red abalone), 244 nucleotides long. RefSeq lists it as uncharacterized. NCBI's taxonomy places the organism in Eukaryota, Metazoa, Mollusca, Gastropoda, Lepetellida, Haliotidae. The transcript has 2 exons. The record is from RefSeq and is a predicted model, not a curated record.